CUUAAAGGGACAGUAGCGCCAGCAGGCAGCCGGCGGAGCCCUUCGCUCCGGGCGGCCGGGGCUCUGCUCCCCGGGUCACCGCGCGGGGCGCCCAGGCCCGGGGCUGCAGAGGCAGCAGCAGCCAGUCCCGAGCGCGCCCCGCCCGCCCCGGCACGUGGCCGGGCGUGAAAUCCCAGCGGGAUCCCGCGCUGAGGUAACAGUCCCGGGGGGCUCGCCGCGCUCCCCUCCCGUGGAUUUUGCAGCAUCCCGGGGCGAUGUCACCCUCGUCUCCUGAUUUGCCCCAUGGGCUCUGACAAGCACGAUGCCAAAACCAGGGCACUGCUGCGACGAUGUCCCAGCAUGUGACUGGCACCACCUUGGUUUCUUCUGUCCCCUGUUUCUGAAAUCUUAAUGCCACUGAUAACAGCAGUGCUGCCACCCUGUCCUCCGACACAGACUGAGGAGGUGACAGGUCCCAGUCCUCCGCACGUGCUCAACUUUAAGCAUUUUGGUCUAGAUGACAUCGACAUGAUGAUGCCUCCAAGCAUUUCCAUUGUUUGAAAUUCACUGCUUGACUUGCCAGCUGGAUCAUGAUGUCACAAAUGUUGUAUUUGUACUGACCAAUCAAUAAGCAGCUAAGCAGCACAAAAUGCAAACAUCAGGGAAGCUUCAUGUUAAAGUUCUAGCUGCGCUAUAAUUGACUGUGCUAGCAAUCCCCAGACUUGGACAGACAUGGCUGUAAUCUAGAACAGUUUUCAUGACCAGUGUGGACACUUUUUUUUUUUUUAGAACUACUGUAUUAUAUAGAUCACCAACAUAGGCACCCCAAAUAGUCUGUAGUAUAAUUUUAUAAAGAUGGUCCUCAGAGGGAAAAUCCCAGUGCGCACUGGUCAGGAAAACUGCACAGAAGCAAAAUUUACCAUGCUCAAGUCAGGGGAACUGGACAAUCUCCAUCCCAGAAUACCCAGAAUAUGAAAAGAGCUGGCACAUGAAACUGCAAGUCUAAUAGUAAUGAUUUUUAAUAAAUCUGUCAAAUCAGGGAUGGUACUGUAUGACUGGAGAAUAGCAAACAUUGUACCUAUAUUUUAAAAAGGGGUAAGAUUGAUUCAGGCAACUGCUGAUGCAUCAGUCUGACCUCAGUGCAAGGCAUUUGAACAAA
This is a long non-coding RNA of Chelonia mydas (Green sea turtle), 1138 nucleotides long. RefSeq lists it as uncharacterized. Lineage: Eukaryota; Metazoa; Chordata; Testudines; Cheloniidae. The transcript is spliced from 2 exons. The record is from RefSeq and is a predicted model, not a curated record.